This 1850-nucleotide long non-coding RNA is filed under the name Triticum aestivum (bread wheat). Its description in RNAcentral is "long non-coding RNA (TAES_LNC019280)". The record is from RNAcentral. Lineage: Eukaryota; Viridiplantae; Streptophyta; Magnoliopsida; Poales; Poaceae.
UAUCUACAACAUUUGCAGUUCACAAAAUCCUCCAUGAAAGGAUAAUUUACAACAUAGAUUGACAAAAUAUACACACAGCAAGGUUAAGAAAUAGUACACUCCAGUUUACAUAAACAAAACAUAUAAACUAUUGAGGUUGUUAUUCAAGUUCUUGCCAUCGGCCCUCCUGAUGGAAACUAUCAGGUCGUGGCGAAUUGUGAUGGGAAGCACCAAGUAGCCCGCUACUCAAUCAUACCUAGCAUAUUUACAAGAACAUUAGAUAUCUGCAGAUAUGAAUAGAUAGUAGAAAUAAGAGAAUUGCAACAUGUGGAAAAUGAAUUACAUGCUACCAAAAAAAUUUAAAUCUUAUAGUGCCGACAAAUGAGGAUAACAUAGUAUCUAUGGCAUAUAAUUUUCAUGUAUAUCCGAAUUAAUUAACACAACCAAGUGUUAAGUACUUGUGCAUAUCAUCCAAACAAGAAACAAAAACACUAGGCUGACAAAGGGGGACCAUAAAUAAAGUAGUACACAAAAUUCAUUCAAUUACCAUAUGUCCAGUGAUCCUUGAUGAUAAGUUAUGGAGGUAACAAAGGGAUAGUUGCAUUGAGAAAACAAACAGGCACAUAUUUCUAUAGUUGUCUAGUAGUGUAUUAUUUUCCUAGUCUGGUAAGUAGGCAUGAAUCAUUUUGUUGAUAUUUGGCAGAAUGUCACCUUCGGUUACCACAAAUUUGCAUAAAUUAGGCUAAAACUAGAACCUACCCUGUUAGAGCAUUAAGAAAUUGGAUAUACCCUGCAGAAUAAUAUCUGCAUCUAUUGACACUUAACAGUUGAAGCUUAGAACAAAAGAUAUAUAGUGAAAAUAAAAUCAAAAGUCUAUGAAGGGGACACCAAUGGACCUAUAUAAGAAUAUGGGCAUUUUGCCCAAGGAUGCAUAUCUCCUGCAACCAUAAGAGAUCAUCAACAGUUAUCACGCAUACAGCUGAAUAAUUAGUAUUUGACAGAAACAAUAUAAAUGAACAAGUGGAGAUGCAAAAUUACCAGCAGCAGUGAGGUGACACAUUUCUCAACAGCCAGGACAACACCAUCCUUACUCUUCAACCCAAUGGCAGUGGAGCCCAACUGCAAUCCAUAGCAGAAGGAUCAGCAUCAAAAGGAUUACAUGCAGACCAGAAUAAGAACACCAAAAUUUUCAACAAAAAGAAUACCAAAAGGAAGAUAUCAAUCUUCAUUAAGAAUACCAUUAGGAAAAAACGCAUACCACUAGAAAUUACGAAUUAGUUCUCCAACAAGUAAGGGACGAUGUUUGGAACAUCUGCCUCACAUAUCCGACACAUUUUAUUUGGCGCAGAAAAAUUAAAACUGCAUUAUCUAUGUGCACCUCUAAAUCCCGAAGAUAUAGAUUUUUACAAUACUUCAUUAUUUUGUUUUAUAGCAUCAAUCAUGUCUAAAGGAGCUGCUUAUUCAGUGGUAAAUCUUUGUGCCUCACAUGAAGGAGCAACUUAUUCAGUGGUAAACUUAUGUGCCUCUCCUCCCUCUCAGCUUUUGUAGAUGGAAGAAAGCUACUUCUAAAGCUUGUUGUGCUGUGUCAAAUGGCAGAAGUUUUAGACAACAUAUAUUAAAAAUAUGUGACUUGAAUGUCACACACACAAUCACACAAACAUCCAACAUUAAUUUAGAUAGGAACAUGUGCGAACAUAUGCAGCAAACAAAUUUCAUGAAUACUGAUCGAUCCUUAAGCAAGGCAUGGUGAGAACUAACAAGUAUGUGUAAACUAAUCAGAACCUUAACAAUACACGAUUUGCACUCGGAUGAAAGAGAAGCAACAUUUUACUCAAUGUCUUGUUGACUGCUACAACAACACAGCGCUACAG